AAAAAAUAGUUAACACAGUGGUCUAUUGAUGUUAAUUCCACAUCCCCACAAAUUCAUUCUGCCACUUAGUUAUUUUAUAAAAAAAUAUAUUUCUGACACCACCUCAGAUUUGACAAACAAAAUUUUGCCGUCGGCAACAACAAUUUACGAUUUGGUAAGGGGUUGAAGUACGUCACAAAAGCCAUCCCGAAGGUUGCCAUACUGUUCGUGGGCAGGCAGAUAAAAGUACUUAUAAAAUAUAAAAGAAUUCAUUAAUUAAUUAAAAGGAGGGCCACACGUGUUCUUUGUAAAUAAUGCUAUAUAAUUUAGUUACUAAAAUGGUCAAGGUGCAGUAAAAAAGUAAUUGCGAACAUCGGAAUUAAAGCUGUGAAAAAGGUGGCAACUCAAGAUUUUCUCUAGCAAAAAUUUGGCGAAAACCAGAGCACCUAAAAACGAAAUCGUACGAUUUGGCCCAAAUCGAAAUCGAAAAAAUCUUACGAUUACCGGAGCAUGCCUGAUUUUAAAUUUUGAUAGAAAUUGAACUGUCGCUAUAGCCAACGCCAAUGCGUCCGUGUUUAAUUAUUUGUUUAUGUAAAACUAAUUACACGGGAUCAUUACGGUAGAGUAUACCCUGCAUGCCUGUUAGAAUUUUCGGUUUCGUUUUUGGUCACUCCCUUUUCUUUUGCAUUUGCAUUCAAUUGUAGAACGUGACACGUGGUAUUUUGGAAAAUUUUCAACGUGAAAUAUAUAAAACCGAUAGCAUAAGCAUAUUAAAAGGACAGCCCAGCAGCCAUCGGAGAAGGCUUGCCCCACUGGCCGCACUGGCAUGUGUUGAAAAGAAC
Long non-coding RNA from Drosophila santomea, 821 nucleotides. RefSeq lists it as uncharacterized. The record is from RefSeq and is a predicted model, not a curated record. Lineage: Eukaryota; Metazoa; Arthropoda; Insecta; Diptera; Drosophilidae. The transcript is spliced from 3 exons.